AAACCCCUCAAUCUAAGUUUAGGUUUGCGAUUAAGUUAGGUUCUUGGUUUUUUUUUUUUUUGCGUGAUCUAAAUGUUUCUUGAAUGCUGGUAAACUAUCCGAAGUAGAUGGAACCGAGAAUCUUGUAUGGAAUAAAUCCUAUUUUCUUGUGUCUGUUUUCUACCUAAAAUGGUUUCAAGUUAUUUUUUUCCCCUUCUCUUUCUAUCGUAACUGCUUGAUUGCCUGCUAUUUUAAGGUAAUGCCUAAAAGGAUUGAAGAAAGGUCGAAUUUUUUCAAGCUUAUCUUGUUUGUUUAGGUUUGUGAUGAAGUUACGUUCUUACUACCUUUAUUACGUGAUUGUGAGCCAAAUGUUUCUUGAACGCCAGUAAACUAUCUGAACUGAUCUCUGGUUUCUACGUUUAAUGAACGCUUUUGGGAAUUUUUGUUGGUGCUUCCAAGAUAAUUGCUUGAUUGCUUUGAGUUUUUAGAUAAUGUUUGAAAUGAUCCAAGAAAGGCUGAAUCUUUUGAUAUUUUUUGAUAUUGGUUUAAUGUUGCGAAGAAGUUAAUUCUUGCUAAGUUUUUUCUUGCAUGAUUGUGAUUUAGAUGAUCCUUGAAUGCUGGGAGACUAUUGGAAGCGAAUUAACCCAAAAGUCUUUAAUGGAAUCUUACUAUAUUCGUAUCUGAUUGGUAAAGUCCUACAGUGAACGGUUUCAAGAAUUCUUUUUCUCCACUUUUUGUUAGGUAACUGCUUGAUUACCAUGAACUUUAAGGUAAUGUUUGAAACAAUCCAAGGAAGGCUGAAUGUGUUUGGACUUUUUGAUGUUCCUUUAGUUUUUUCGCUGAAGUUGGAUUCUUCUGUUUUUUUUUUCUUUCAUGACUGUGAUUUAGAUAUUUCUUGAAUGCUUUCAACUAUCCGAACUGAAUCAAACCAAGAAGCUUUAAUGAAACGAGCAUUAUGUGAUGUCUGAUUUCUAAACUUUAGGUUUUCAAUAUUACACUUUUCAUGUUGAUUUCUACUUUCAGUAAAUGGUUUUAAGAUUUUUCCCUUUUUUUGUUAGAUAGCUGCUUGAUUGCUGUGACUCUUCAGGCACUGCUUGAAACGAUACAUGAAAGGAUUCACAACUUUUGAUUGUUCACUCAGUUUUGUGAUGAAGUAUGUUCAAAGCAAUCCAAAAGAGGCUGCAUCUUUUUAUAUUUCCUGAGUCCUGGAAAACUAUCACAAUGAAUCAAACCAAGAAUCUUUUAUGGAAAAUGUACUGGUGGCUAUGUGAUUGGUGUAACUUUCCACAUUUGAUUUGAUCCUACAUGUCUAGCUCUUUAAUUUAUAACUCUAGUUCUGCCACCUGAAGUUCUUUAAGAUUUCAAUUUCGUGCUGAUCUCAACUUUCAGUUAAGAGCUUUCAGAUUUUUCUUUUUUAAUUUUUAAAACUUUUGUUGUUAUUAGAUAACUGCUUGAUUGCUGUGACUUUUUUUGUUAUGUUUGAAACAAUCCAAGAAAGGCUGAAUCUUCACAAACUCUUCAAUAUUAGAUAUUCUAUGAAGUUAAUUUCUUGCAAACUUUCUGAACUGGAUUAAACCAGAAUCUCUUAUAGAAAUAGUUCUACUGGGUGUGUGAUCAGUAGAGUUUACUAUCCAAAUUUGAUAAGAUCCUAUGUGCCUAGCUUCUUAAAUUAUAACUUAGGUUUCACCAUUUGAAGGUUUUCAAGAUUAAUAUUGCAUGGUUGUAUCUGAUGCCAAUGGUGGACUCCAAUAUAUCAAAAAGAGAGAGAACUCCCACAUAAAAAAGAAAUUUAGGGCCAACCGGUUCGUACUGGUUCGGUUCGGUCCGAACUGGUACUGAACUGUACCGGGCGCCGACCAGUAUGGCACCUGGUACCGGUUCGGCGAUCCUUGGUAUUAUCUCUUAUGAUCAAAUCAUUGUGCAGAGUCUAUUGAUCAAUAACUUACAUUCAGCACCUACUUCGAUCUUUCAUUUUGCUAGUGCUGAAACGUAAUUUGUUUAAUUAUUUUUUAAAAAAAUUUAUUUGCCUGCUAUUAUUAUAUAGAUAGAAUAUGUUAUGGAGUGCCUGAAAAGGCUUUCAUCGUUGGAGAGGCCCUUCACAGGAUAGACGAAUAUAGGAUUAAACGUUAACUUCAAGUUAUGAUCUACAUUUCUGAUGUCUCCCAAUACAUAAGAUGAUAACUUUGCUCCUCUUAGAAGUGACUGUUUUAUUAUAGUUUCAUCAAUCUGUGUACAAAUUAUACCUAGAAGAUAGAUGAGACAGUGGAAAUUUCUCAUAACAUAGCAUCUAUUUUCUUGUAUACAUUAUCUAGGAUGUCAUAUGCUAACCUAAUUUGUUUGUGUAGUCUUUACUCUUUGGUCUAUGCUUAUUUUGUAAUAAAUAAGAAAUGGGAGACAAUUUGUUUAUGUUCAUAAUUGUUUACACUUAUCUCUGAUUUAUGUGCUUAUUCUUUAAAUAUGAAGUGGUAGACAAUUUUGUUCAUGUCUAUGAAACUCACCUUCUCUUUGGAUUUGUCCUUUUUUUUCAUUGAUUAUUGCUUUCUUGCACCUUGUAGUUGUUUGUUGCAUAUACUAUGAAUUCAAUGGUCCCUAAUCCUCUGCUUGGAUAUCUAUAUGUAGAAGGUUUUUUAUUUUCUGUUGUUUAGCUUACCUAAUACAUUCUGUUCUUUUUUUUAUCUCAGUUAUUAUCAAAGAGUAAGGCAUUAUCCUAUUAAAAAGCCCUAUCAGGCCUUUGGGAUAUUCUGAUCAACCAGCUUGUCGUAUUUGGACCACCCAAUCAUCUUCUAUAUAAAUGACAGAUGGUUUAGAUCACCUCAUAGGCUUGGUUUAGAUUAUCGCAUCGGCUUCCUUCGGAUAUUCACUCUGUUUUGUACUGAUCAUAUAGACUUAUGAUAAAUGGAAAUCAAGUAAAGAUUCAUGAUAAUAUAAUUCCCUGAUCACCAGUAUUUCCUGCUUUCUUUUUAUUUAAGAUUGAUUGUUCAGUGAUUUGAUUCUUGACCAUAAUCCUUGGGGCAAAUAGUGUGGAAUUUUCAGCUGGUUUACGUUGGUUUUUAAAGUAUUGGUAUCUCGCACAUGUAUCUCGGGAGAAAACUGGUUGUGUACAGUUAUCAUGAAUGCCCAAACCAGGGGCCCUUCCCUAUGUUUCUAGGCCUAUUCCAUGGGCUUACUACCAGAAUGCUGGUACAUCCUGGUGUAAGCUACUGUACUUUCUGUUUUGUGAAUUUUGUGUUCCUUAUAUGCAGUUAUUCUUCCAGUCUUCCAAUAGAUCUAGAUGUUUUCACCUUUUUUUAGUGUAGAGAAAAGAACCUCCAUAUCUACAUCACCACAUCUUAUUCAUCUGCAUAAGUUUUUGUGGUUUCACAUAUUAGCGAAUUUAUUUCUGCAAUACAUAUGUCAUGAUGUAAUAGAUGUAUCCCCUGUUUUGCCACAUGUUGUUCGUCUGCAUAAGUCUUUUCUUUUCCUAUGGCUGUCCGAGGCCAUGUAACCAUUAUUAGAUAAUAAGUCCUCAGUUUAGCUUGUACAAUACAUUUUCUUUUUUCUUCUACUCUUUGUUGAGGUCCACAUUAGCUAUAGAUAAUAUUGCAAUUUGCUUGGAGUAGCAAUGCAACAAAGGUUAUAAAAAGUUAUAUAAUGUUUUGUAGCACAAUAAAUUUAGGACAAGCGGUGCAACAAGUUCAUGGCACCUACACUAUAGUCCUCUAAGAAGAUGUUAUGUACUUUUGGAUUUUUGGGGGCCAAUGAUGAAAGUCUGCAGCAGCUUCUUUUUGGAGUUUGAUAACUUGACCCUCUUUCCUCAAAAAAGAAAUUGCAUCAGUAGGGCGUUCUGUAACUGUUUGUUGUAUGCUUAUACCCCAAGGUUCGCCAAAUCGAUACUGGGACCUAUACCGGUCGGUGGCCGGUUCGGUACUGUAUGAACACACAGUACGCAAUGGUGUGCUGGUUCUGAAUCGGCACACCAUUUUUUUUAAUAUUUUUUAAGUUUGAAUUAAUGGUAUUUUUUUUAAUUUUUUCAAUGAUCUUAAGUAUAAUUUGAUAUUUCUUUAUGCUUUUUAAUGUUUAUGUGAUGUUUCUCCUCUCCUCCUCCUCCUCCUCUCUUCUUCCUCCUCCUGCUUCUUCUCCUCCUCCUCCU
Phoenix dactylifera (date palm) is the source of this 4108-nucleotide RNA transcript. RefSeq lists it as uncharacterized. NCBI's taxonomy places the organism in Eukaryota, Viridiplantae, Streptophyta, Magnoliopsida, Arecales, Arecaceae. The record is from RefSeq and is a predicted model, not a curated record.